CAAAUACUCCCUCCGUCUGGAAAUACUGGUCAUCAAAAUGGAUAAAAGGAAAUGUAUCUAGACGUAUUUUAGUUUUAGAUACAUCUCUUUUUAUCCAUUUUUAUGACAAGUAUUUUCAGACAGAGGGAGUAGAAA
Molecule: non-coding RNA, 135 nt
Organism: Triticum aestivum (bread wheat)
Lineage: Eukaryota; Viridiplantae; Streptophyta; Magnoliopsida; Poales; Poaceae
Source: Rfam